Molecule: ribosomal RNA, 252 nt
Filed under: uncultured Geothermobacter sp.
Lineage: Bacteria; Pseudomonadati; Thermodesulfobacteriota; Desulfuromonadia; Desulfuromonadales; Geothermobacteraceae
Description: partial 16S ribosomal RNA
Rfam family: Bacterial small subunit ribosomal RNA
Source: RNAcentral
UUGGGCACUCUAAGGAGACUGCCGGUGUUAAACCGGAGGAAGGUGGGGAUGACGUCAAGUCCUCAUGGCCCUUAUAUCCAGGGCUACGCACGUGCUACAAUGGCCGGUACAAAGGGUCGCAAUACCGCGAGGUGGAGCUAAUCCCAAAAAGCCGGUCUCAGUUCGGAUUGGAGUCUGCAACUCGACUCCAUGAAGUCGGAAUCGCUAGUAAUCGCGUAUCAGCGUGACGCGGUGAAUACGUUCCCGGGCCUU